RNAcentral lists this ribosomal RNA (256 nucleotides) under uncultured bacterium. RNAcentral describes it as "partial 16S ribosomal RNA". It matches the Rfam family "Bacterial small subunit ribosomal RNA", at positions 95 to 354 of the family's 1533-position model. The record is from RNAcentral.
UGGGCGGACGGGUGAGUAACGCGUGGGCAACCUGGCCUGUACAGGGGAUAACACUUAGAAAUAGGUGCUAAUACCGCAUAACGGGAGAAGCCGCAUGGCUUUUCCUGAAAACUCCGGUGGUACAGGAUGGGCCCGCGUCUGAUUAGCCAGUUGGCAGGGUAACGGCCUACCAAAGCGACGAUCAGUAGCCGGCCUGAGAGGGCGGACGGCCACACUGGGACUGAGACACGGCCCAGACUCCUACGGGAGGCAGCAG